ACGUACUACGUGUACGCUCCGGGUCCUGUGCGCUGUCCGCACCCAAUCUGGCGGCGCUCGCUACGUCAACU
RNAcentral lists this small RNA (71 nucleotides) under Serratia marcescens. RNAcentral describes it as "sX9 sRNA". It matches the Rfam family "Xanthomonas sRNA sX9". The record is from RNAcentral. Lineage: Bacteria; Pseudomonadati; Pseudomonadota; Gammaproteobacteria; Enterobacterales; Yersiniaceae.